UAUGGAGUGCAACGUGUAUUCACUCAUUCGUGAUAAAGUGAAAUUUCAUUAGUCCUCGAUCGAGUGACGAAUUAUUUAUAGAAAACGCCGGCAAAAGUAGUUCUGGAUUGAAGAUCGGUUCACAAUGACUCACGGAGAACUCUCAGCGCCAUCCCAGCUCCUCUCUAUGGCAAAAUUUGGAGUUUCAUUUUCUGGCGGCGGUACUCGGUCAGCGGCGUUCUGCUCAGGGGUAUUACGCAGAUUGCUACAGAAGGAAGUACAAAUAGAUUACCUGAGCUGUGUAUCAGGGGGUGGUUGCUCAGGCUCCGCCUACGUGGACUGGAAAUACAGACAUGGAAAGAAAGACAACAAGAAGUGGCAUCAGGAGUAUUUUAAC
Molecule: long non-coding RNA, 376 nt
Organism: Pocillopora damicornis (cauliflower coral)
Lineage: Eukaryota; Metazoa; Cnidaria; Anthozoa; Scleractinia; Pocilloporidae
Source: RefSeq, a predicted model, not a curated record